CAAGAUGGCGGCGCCGCGCCCGGAGCCCCGCCCCUUUGCCGGGCGCUUCCGGAGCGGCCCCACGUGUGUGUGCGCGCGCACGCAGUGGGGCUAGAGCGGAGGGGGGCUCGCUACUCCCAGCCGAGCCACCCGCCGCCGCGGCCAUGAGCGGGGCCGGCGGGGGCGCUCGGCGCUCCCAGGCCUUCCGGCUGCCGGGGCGACACGGCUACGCGGUGGAGUUCUCGCCCUACCUGCCCGGGCGCCUGGCCUGCGCCGCCGCGCAGUACUACGGGAUCGCCGGUUGUGGAACUCUAGCAGUGCUGGAACAAAAUGAAGUUGGGAUUUGUCUUUUCAGGAGUUUUGACUGGAAUGAUGGCCUGUUUGAUGUGACAUGGAGUGAGAACAAUGAACACGUGCUGGUCACUUCUAGUGGGGAUGGAUCUCUGCAGAUCUGGGACACUGCUAAACCAACAGGUCCGCUGCAAGUCUAUAAAGAGCACACUCAGGAGGUUUACAGUGUUGACUGGAGCCAAACCAGAGGAGAACAGCUAGUGGUGUCUGGUUCAUGGGAUCAAACUGCCAAACUGUGGGACCCAACUGUGGGGCGGUCAUUAUGCACUUUUAAAGGCCAUGAGGGCAUCAUUUACAGCACUAUAUGGUCUCCGCACAUCCCAGGCUGUUUUGCAUCUGCUUCAGGUGAUCAGACUUUAAGAAUUUGGGAUGUGAAGACACCAGGAGUCAAAGUAGUGAUUCCAGGGCACCAGGCUGAGAUCUUGAGCUGUGACUGGUGCAAAUAUGAUGAGAAUUUGCUGGUAACUGGUGCGGUUGACUGUAGUUUGAAAGGUUGGGAUUUGAGGAAUGUACGGCAGCCAGUAUUCAACCUUGUUGGCCAUACCUAUGCUGUAAGGAGAGUAAAAUUUUCACCAUUUCAUGCAACUUUAUUGGCCUCCUGCUCCUAUGAUUUUACUGUGAGAUUCUGGGACUUUUCCAAGCCUAACCCCUUGCUGGAGACUGUGGAGCAUCAUACAGAGUUUACAUGUGGACUAGAUUUAAGCCUUCACAACCAUGGUCAGGGUGUAAAGUACCUCAAAUAACUAAGCAGUUGCAACCAAUUAAGGAAAUACCACAAAUGAGCAGUAACCAUAAAAUGGGACAACUACAGUGUGUAUCAUACAAAAUGAAGUUUGAUUUCUAAAUUUCUAGUGGCAGACUGUGCUUGGGAUGAAUUAGUGAAGAGCUAUACGCCAUCAUGUCUGGCAGCUCCUGUGUAGAGAACACCACUUUGUCCAGUGAAGAAAGAGAGCUGACUUGGUGGGAAGCUUUCUCUGCUCCCAGGAAACUCAACUCAUACUAGAUGUGUCAAUAAUGUGGCUUUAAUCCUCAUGUCUCCUUUUUAAAUACGAUCUGUAGUUUUAACUGAAGAUGUUAUGCAUUUGAGGAUACAUUUUCAGUGAAGUAUGUUGGGGACCCAUAUUAAGGAUGGUUCAACUGUACACCCAGUGCUUAAGGCAGCAAAAUAAUGCUUGGAUGAUCAAAGGCUGGCGGGGCAGACAUUUUGCUGGGGGCAGAGCCAGGCAGAUUUGUCUUUGGGGAGUUACAUGGGUAAACGUCUUAACAGUGGGAGAUGUGAAUCAAAUUUCCUAAUCCUGAUCAAGAAUAAAGACAAAUGGCAAUUUAUUUUGAGAUACUGGCGCUAUUUUAAAAAAAAGAGGGGAGACGUGUUUACUGUAAAAUAAUGCAGCAUCAACUUGAGGCUUGUGUCACUCAGUUGAUUUGAUAUUGAUACCUUUUGCUCCAAAUUCGUGUCACAUUAUUUUCUUAUGUAAUAUGAUGAAUACUGUUGAUAGACGGUUAAUGUCAUCAUACAUUAUAACAAGCUGCUUCCUUUGACCUUUUUGUUCACUGUUUCGUGAUGGCAGAAAAGAUUAUUUCCAUUAAGUCUUUUUUUUUUUUUUCCCCCAUGUGUUUUCAGAUAAAAUGUUUGAUGGAGGGUCAUACCAAAAGAAAUUCUGUUUUAGAUUAUGCUCAGAAAUCACAAAAUAGAGACAGAUUGUGAUGGGAAAUCUUCAAAAGAAUUAAGCAUUCUUUUUUUAAUGCUUAUCCAAACUUCUUUGAGGCUCUCACACAGACAUUGUACUCCGUCACACCCCUUUGCCGUCAGAGACUCCUUCACAGGGCCCCCCACUUUCGGCAGCCUCUUUGCAGGGCCCUAACUACUACUGAACUCAAUGUUGUAUGCUCCUGGGUAGUGUAUCCCAGAGUUGAUGAGAUUUGCAUUAAGCCAUGGCCAAAUGUCAGAGGGUGCCGAAUCUGCUGGAGCAUUGGAAGAUACGGGGUGGAGAGAGAGCAUUCAGAGAUGAGGAACUGGAUCUUAUUUAAGAGUUCCAGGUAAAGGAGGAAUGUGUCCUAUUUUAGCGAUAGGAACCAGGGGCUACUGGACAGCCAUGCACAGAGAGCUGUGCCUAGAUUAGGAGGCAAGGUGAAAUAUUAAAUUCUUUUCCACUUCUGAGAUGUGUGGAUUCUGCAUGGUGGUGUUUUUUUUUUUUAAUCAGGUGAUCUGUUCCUGCAUACCAAGCCCUGUAGCUGAAUUAGAAACAAAAGUUUUGAUUGUGAGGUAUUAUAAAAUAUGACAUAGAUUUUAAAAUCAUUAUGAUGCUUUUUCAUUUUAGGUGCUAAGAAAUAAUACAACCAUAAAUCUUUGCUGCUUAUAGCUUUUAUUAGUACCAUGGGCCAUAAAACCCACGCCUAUGCAUUAAAAUUGAUUAUUUUUAACCUUAACA
Molecule: RNA transcript, 2759 nt
Organism: Dermochelys coriacea (leatherback sea turtle)
Lineage: Eukaryota; Metazoa; Chordata; Testudines; Dermochelyidae
Gene: PEX7
Gene name: peroxisomal biogenesis factor 7
Exons: 11
Source: RefSeq, a predicted model, not a curated record